Molecule: transfer RNA, 73 nt
Filed under: Stegodyphus mimosarum
Lineage: Eukaryota; Metazoa; Arthropoda; Arachnida; Araneae; Eresidae
Rfam family: tRNA
About the family: Transfer RNA (tRNA) molecules are approximately 80 nucleotides in length. Their secondary structure includes four short double-helical elements and three loops (D, anti-codon, and T loops).
Source: Rfam by way of RNAcentral
GCCUUCGUAAUGUAAUGGUCAGCACACGCGGUCCGUAUUCGAGAGGUCUGAGGUUCGACUCCCGGCGAGGGCA